AACGGUCUAUACCUGCGGUACCUGCGGAAGGAUCAUUAAUGAGAAGCUGCCCCUCGUGGGUAGACCUCCCACCCUCUGUGAACUUACCUUUGUUGCUUUGGCAGGCCCGUCCUCUGGACCGCCGGCUUCGGCUGGCCCGUGCCUGCCAGAGGAUUCCAAACCCUGUCUGUCAGUGUUGUCUGAGUCUAUAUGAAAUCGUUAAAACUUUCAACAACGGAUCUCUAGAUCGGAAGAGCACAC
RNAcentral lists this unclassified non-coding RNA (240 nucleotides) under soil metagenome. Its description in RNAcentral is "partial contains 5.8S ribosomal RNA, internal transcribed spacer 2, and large subunit ribosomal RNA". The record is from RNAcentral.